GGGACCCCAAAACAGCACCCACAGGGGAGGCACCAGGGUUGGGGGAACAGCAGGAAUUAGGGGGCAUCAGGGUUGGGGGGGCGCACCGGGAGUUUGAGGGUCAUAUCAGGAAUUUGCGGGUCACCAGGGUGGGGAGGAAACAGGAAUUGGGGGGACGGGAAACACAAAUUGCGAGGGCACCAAGAGUUGGGGGGGUGUCACCAGAGUUGGGAGUCUCCAAGGUUUGGGAGAGCCCAGGAUUUCGAGGGGGGCACCCAGGAUUUGGGAGGGUGGAGGAGGGUUCGCAGGGGCACCAGGAAUUUGGGGGGACAUCAGGUUUGGGGGACAGCAGGACUUGGGAGUGCAGCAGGAAUUUAGAGGGCACCAGGAAUUGUGAGGUCCCAAGAUUUGGGGUCCCAGGAUUUCUGGGGCGGGAUGUCAGGAUUUGGGAGUGCUGAGGAGGGUCUGG
Long non-coding RNA from Ficedula albicollis (Collared flycatcher), 448 nucleotides. RefSeq lists it as uncharacterized. The transcript is spliced from 2 exons. Lineage: Eukaryota; Metazoa; Chordata; Aves; Passeriformes; Muscicapidae. The record is from RefSeq and is a predicted model, not a curated record.